Hirundo rustica (Barn swallow) is the source of this 657-nucleotide long non-coding RNA. RefSeq lists it as uncharacterized. NCBI's taxonomy places the organism in Eukaryota, Metazoa, Chordata, Aves, Passeriformes, Hirundinidae. The transcript is spliced from 3 exons. The record is from RefSeq and is a predicted model, not a curated record.
CCUGAAGGUUUUUGUCCUAUUGCUUACUGGGACAGAGAAGAGGACCAGACACCCUUGUAAAAGAGGCGUGGAAUAAUUACACAUGACAAAGGUCUACUGAAUGCUGAAGUCACCAUUUUGAACUUAAAACCUCCUGGAACUCUGACACAUCUGUAUGGAGGGUGCUUGCUGCCCUGCACAUCUGCCAGAACCCAAGACUGAAAUUCAGCUUUGCAAUCUUAGAAAUGAAAAUUAUCCCAACUGCAUUCCAUCUCCGAUCAUUUCUCUUCCCCUUCUGGCUCUUCCACCCCAUCAGGCACAAACAAUAGAGUUUCUUGUACCCUGCAGUACCCACCUUGUUCCCAUUAGGAGCAUGACACUUGGCAGUCUUCCUGGAUGCCCAUGCUGGUCCAAAAUUGUCUCUGGGACACAUGCCUUCUUUUGUGGUCACUGGAGUGAGGGGGAUGUCCCUUGCAGAACAAAUACUACUCAGUAAAAUGAGCAGGAACAGAAGUCGUUCACUAGUGCCUGUUCCUACAAGUGGAUGCCUGUUGUAUAAACAAACAGUAAAUAUGCUAAAGCUGUCCAAGCCCAUGGAUUCUGGUGAUUGCCCCUCUUCACAUCCUUUUGCUACUGAAUGUCUUCUGCAGAGACAGAAAUGAGUUAGGGAAUUAGGCA